This 253-nucleotide ribosomal RNA is filed under the name uncultured bacterium. RNAcentral describes it as "partial 16S ribosomal RNA". It matches the Rfam family "Bacterial small subunit ribosomal RNA", at positions 524 to 776 of the family's 1533-position model. The record is from RNAcentral.
UACGGAGGGUGCAAACGUUAAUCGGAAUUACUGGGCGUAAAGCGCACGUAGGCGGUCCGUUAAGUGGGGUGUGAAAGCCCUGGGCUCAACCUGGGAAUUGCAUUCCAAACUGACGGGCUAGAGUGUGGUAGAGGGGGGUAGAAUUCCAUGUGUAGCGGUGAAAUGCGUAGAUAUAGGGAGGAAUACCUGUGGCGAAGGCGGCCCCCUGGACCAACACUGACGCUGAGGUGCGAAAGCGUGGGGAGCAAACAGG